GUAAGUACAUGUUUCCUUUUUGUGUAACGCAAUAUUAUGUUAACAUUGUUUUUAGUUUAUAUAUUUAAAAUGUGUAGUCAUCUUUGUUCUUGCCUAACUAGAUAAAGUAGCCUUGUUUAUGCAAUGUUGCUAGUACAUGUAGAAUUUUAACGAGUUAUAAUAGGUAGCAAAAGCUUUACAUCUAGAAAGACUAAAUUUAACUUUUAGUGUUUUCUUACAAAAAUAACGAUGUAUAUAUGUUUAAAUAAUUUUGUUUGCCUGAACAAGUAUGCUGCUAGUCCAGUAGCUAGAGUGGCUAGUAAGUGUUAGCUAGCACAUGCUGUUUUGCCUUUGUUACACACUGUGGCUUUGUGCUGUGUUGCUACUGUACUGGAUUUAAGGCGAUUAUGAUUUCUAAUUCUCUGAACUGCUGUACUUUUUAAGUUAGAGGAAAAUUCUGUGUUCACUUGAAUCACAACACUCGGUGAAUACAUUUUAUUUUUAACAAUUUCAUUUUGAUAAUGUUUCCCCCCACAGCAUAGCUACUCUAUAUUCCUAACGUUAACAAUCCGGUUUUGUUCAUGUUUUCUUGGAGAUACCUUGGCCAGAGCAUAACCGGUUAUCUUCACCCAAGAGACCUACUGUUGGUCAAUCGUUUUGGCUUUAAAGAAGUUGCAUUGAUUCCAGAAAACGAGGACAAUGUUGAGCCAUCUGUAGACGUCAGAGCUGAACCAGGUUUCUCCCCAGUAUUCCAGACUCCACUUCACAGAGCCAAGAGUUUGAGUACAACUCGUCAAGUACUAAGCUUUACACCACCAGCAGCAAAUUUACCCUGGCAGCAUAUGGGUGAAAACGCUGGAGAUUUCCAGAGACUCCAGAAUGAAAACCAAGCUCUGAGGGAGGAGAACCAAGCCCUGAGGGAAUGCAAUGCACAAGCAGCUUCGGAUGAAAGCGGCUCACUUCAAGAGCAGGUGAAGCAAGUAGGGACAAUGUUGAAGACGUUUGCUUUCACUGGGCAAUCAGGUACAAUUUGCAAACAACACCUGUGGUUGUUAGUUUAAUACCUGUACAUGUAGUAGACCUAGAUAUAAAUGUUGUAGUUUAGUUACGCGUUUCCUGAAAGGAGCAUCUGACCGUGAAGGCAGAAAAAGGUGCCGCACAGCUGAGAAGGACCCACAGCCGACCCCUUAAACCUAGGCUGACUACUGACACCCCAGCAUCACUGAACUGGAACACUUUAUUUAUCCUGCAGUCAGUAACAUUAAGAAGCCAAAAGUGCCAGACUACACUCACCAAAUCCACCCUGUUUUUGUUUUUGUAUUUUAACUUUAGUAUUGGCUUAUUUCAUUCUGUCUUAACGAUUCUAUUAUAGUUUGUAAAUCCUAUUUCAUACCUGUUACUUGAUAUUGCAAAUUAACUAGUACCAAAAUUCUACUUUCAUUUCAUCAGUGUGCUUAACUG
This is a long non-coding RNA of Esox lucius (northern pike), 1440 nucleotides long. Lineage: Eukaryota; Metazoa; Chordata; Actinopteri; Esociformes; Esocidae. The record is from Ensembl.